RNAcentral lists this unclassified non-coding RNA (11351 nucleotides) under Dermacentor andersoni. RNAcentral's name for it is "oxysterol-binding protein-related protein 8-like". Lineage: Eukaryota; Metazoa; Arthropoda; Arachnida; Ixodida; Ixodidae. The record is from RNAcentral.
CUUGUUCCGCUUGGCCUCGGCCGGUGCAUGCUAAACAGGUGUCGCUGAAGAAGGAACUCAAGAGGAGUGGCGUGGUUUCAGCGGUUUUGGACUGUGCGCGGAAAAGCAAGAGUUGGUCUGUCGUCGAUAGAAGUCUGGUCCGUGUCCCAGAAGUAAUGACAGAGGCGUGAUGGAUUCAACGAAUCAGUUUAAAGAAGGCCGGCCGGUCAGCGCGUCCGGAGAUUGCGCGACUCCGGUGGGCGCUGCCAACAAGACCCUGGGCUCGCUCGGACCCCUGGCACGGUCCACGCCGCUCGCCGCGUCGACGGUCAAAGGCCCUGAGGCCAGUGGCGAGGAGCCUCGUCUUUCAGACACACAGAGCACCACUUCCUUGUCACCUAAGCAGUCUAAUUGUGACUUCUCUAAGGGGGAUGUCAUGGCUGGCGACUCGACGCAGAUGUCUGCGAAACUUGCCAAGAGGGAAUCCUACAAGGCACAGCGCAAGCACUACCGGUGUGAGAAGAAGCGGGUCGCCAUGGAGCUGUCCAGCACACUUACGGACCCGUCGAUCAUUGUGCUGGCUGACUGGCUCAAGGUGCGGGGCAGCCUCAAGGGCUGGACCAAGCUGUGGUGCGUGCUCAAGCCAGGGUUGCUGCUCCUCUACAAGAGCCCGAAGAUCGCCAAGAGUAGCCAAUGGGUCGGGACCGUCCUGUUGAAUGCAUGCGAGCUGAUAGAGCGACCUUCCAAGAAGGACGGAUUCUGCUUCAAGAUCUUUCAUCCACUUGAGCAAUCCAUCUGGGCAUCACGGGGUCCCCGGAAUGAGGCAAUAGGUGCCCUGGUACAGCCUUUGCCAGUGAGCCACCUAAUCUUCCGGGCACCCUCCGAGGCGGCGGGCAAAUGCUGGAUGGACGCUCUGGAGCUUUCACUUCGCUGCUCCUCACUGCUGCUGCGUUCCAUGACCUCUGGGCAUUUGCGUAGCAACAGCGGUGGUGGAACCGGGCUAGGCAACACCCGUGACUCCACAUCAUCGGCGGGAGGCAUCGGUGGGGUGGAAGCCGAGCUCUCGCACAUAGUGAGCACUCCCACCACUGCCACCUCACAGCAGCGGCACUGGAACGAGAGUGACCUCGAGAACCACUUCAAGGACCAAGACCUGGGAGACGAUGCCCCCACGGACGACCAGCGCGACGGCACCCAGAGCUUGCGUUCGAGCGACACUGACUCCGAGGAGGAAGAGCACCAACGGCUGACAGAGGACAGUGGAGAGGCAGAGGAAGUUGAGGAGGAACCAGAGACACCGUAUCAGGAAGAGAGCAAUGAGGAACUUGGAGAGGCGGGUGAUGCAGGCCAGACAGAGGAGGUUGCGGAGGAAAAUCGCAGCCUCAUCUGGGCCCUGGUGAAGCAGGUUCGGCCAGGCAUGGACCUGUCCAAAGUGGUGCUGCCCACCUUCAUCCUUGAGCCGCGGUCUUUCCUCGACAAGCUCGCUGACUACUACUACCAUGCUGACAUCUUGUCCAAGGCUGUUCAGGAAGACGACCCCUUGACACGGAUGAAGCUGGUGGUGCAGUGGUACCUAUCCGGUUUCUAUAAGAAGCCCAAGGGCCUUAAGAAGCCCUACAACCCCAUUCUUGGCGAAGUGUUUCGCUGCUGUUGGAAGCACCCAGAGACGGGCAGCCGAACCUUCUACAUUGCUGAGCAGGUCUCUCAUCACCCGCCAAUUUCUUCCUUCUACGUGAGCAACCGACCAGAUGGCUUCUGCAUCAGUGGAACAAUUUUGGCAAAGUCAAAGUUCUAUGGCAACUCACUAUCGGCAAUUCUGGAAGGCACAGCGCAGUUGUCCUUUUUGACGAGAGGCGAGACGUACACAAUCACCAUGCCGUACGCUCACUGCAAGGGCAUCCUCAUGGGCACCCUUACCAUGGAGCUCGGAGGCAAGGUGAACAUCGUAUCGGAGAAGACGGGCUACCGCACCGAACUCGAGUUCAAACUCAAGCCAUUCCUAGGUGGGCCUGAGUUGUGCAACUUGGUGACGGGGAAGGUGAAGCUAGGCAAGGAGACCUUGUUUCUCAUCCAGGGUCAUUGGGAUGGGCAGAUUUUCCUGCGAGACAAGAGGACACAGGAGGAGCAGGUGCUGUGGCACCCAACCCAGGAAGUGAAGUCGAAACGGCUAAAACGAUCCACAGUGCCCUUGGAGAUUCAGCAAGAUUAUGAAUCCGAAAGGCUGUGGCAGCACGUGUCGGCAGCCAUAGUACGUGGGGACCAGGUGGCAGCCACUGAGGAGAAGACUAUCCUGGAAGAGGCGCAGCGCAGAAGCACCAAGGAGAGACAAGCACGCAUGGAAGCUUGGAUGCCCCGCUUCUUCAUCCAGGACCUGCUCACGGGUGACUACCUCUACAAGCACGCCGACUCCCGCCCAUGGGACCCUCGAAAUGACGUUGUUCAGUUUGAGCGGAACGGAGUGAUUCAGAGCAAGACUCGACAUCAGACACCCAUCGUGCCCUCGGGGGGCAGUCUCGUCAGCAUUGAGGGGAGCCCUCCUGAGAGUCAGGGUGGCCUGCGCAGGCGCAUCUUGCACUCGAGCCCGCGGCAGGUGGCUGCUCACCUCACUCAUCGCCACCAUCACCACCACAGGCACCAGCAGCAACAACCGGGCUCAGCUUCUGCGAGUUCCAAGAAAGAUAGAAAGAAGAAAGUCGCUGUUGGACAUCUCCACAGUGGCAGCUCCUCGGCUGAGCGAGGCGCCUGCUUCUCCUGUGAUUCCACUGACAGCGAAGCGCUGGCAGCAGAGGCAGGCAAAGGGGUAGCAGCACGGUUGGGUCUGCAGCCAAGCCGAGCAGUGCUGUCGGGCAGCUCCAUAUCUCAAUCCCUGGGUCCCGCCCUGGCUCCUCUGCAGCGCUCCCUGGAGGAGGCAAACACCACCCUGAACACGUUACAGCGACACCUUGAGCAUGUGCUGCUGCAGCAGCGGCAGCUUGAACACCGGCUAAGCCAGCGCAACGACGUCACACCCGUGGUCCUCGUUGUGUUUGUCCUGCUCGCAUUACAUCUUUUACUCUGGGGCUGGUUAACCUCCUGAUCGCGCUCGGCUGGCUAUGUUGUCUGACCUGCAAGGACAGGGAUAUUCUUUCCAGAUGUCUGCUUGUGAUUGCCAGUGUAGCAUGCUUUGCAUGCAGUGUAUGAUACUGGUAUUGGUACUGCAGUAGUACUGGUACCUUGUACACAGUGCUGUGAUCACCAGUGUAGCUGCCCCACAUGUGUAUGAUAUUGGUACCAGUGGCUUUGGUACUGCAGUGGUACCAAUUCUUGGUGGUACACAGUGCAUGGCACGAGUGUGGCUGCAGCAUUGUACCAGUAACCUUGAAAGUUCCAUAGCCAUCGUGCAUGCGACAACACUAAGCUAAGGAAGGCGAGUGUGGUAGACUUCCACACCCUCCUCUGCUUCGUAGAGCCGCGGAUACAGUGGGGGUACCAGUACACAGCUUGACGUCUGCUCUGGUCACACAGAUGCUGGCUAUGGAAUUUUUGAGGUGGACUGGGUCACUUUCUGCCUGUACAAAGGCUGAUGGAAGCUUAGGAAAAGGGGCAUUGGACCCGUAGUUUAUUUUGUACAUAGGAAUAGGGUUCUGCAAGUGUGGGUGUGGUAUAAUUGCAAGUGUAAGAGUAAGUGUAGAUCUUGAAUGUAGGCGCAUCGUGAACUUGGCUGUGUCACUGUACCCCUCAGUACUGCCAGGAAGAGUGUGUGGUUUCUCAGGGCAAAAGCUGCGUGGUGUGAAUAAGUAAGAGGAGACCUGUGCCCUGUGUUAUAUAAAUAUAAGGUGAGCUUUUCAAUUAUGGCAACUGCCCUUACGUACCAGCCGCUCUGUGCCAUCUGGUUCUGGACAUUGCUGUCAGAAGGACAGCUCUGCUCUAUGGUAAUAGCACCCUGAGUGCUUGGAAACCAGUGCUGACCACUUCAGUUGGGCCAUUGUACAUAAGGAAAGAAAUGCAACCAUCAGUGUUACUGCUGCAAUUAGCUACAUGACACCACUGCAUUUAGUGUGGCUCAGCUUUCUUUUGUUAGCUGGGGAAGAAAAUUGAACUUCUUGGCCAACCUCCUGCACAUGAUAAAACAGCUUUAGAUAUCAUGGGCAUUUUGAGUGUGCACCUGUGGCACCACUGUGUGGUUUAGUUGAAGCAAAAGGUCCUCCCUCCCCCUUUUUUCUCCAGUGUGAAUGAAAGUAUUUUAGGUGUUCAGAAAAUACGCUAAAGUUGAUGGGCUGAGUAUUCAUCACUGAAAGAACGCCCCAAGUGAAGAGAUUGGAUGGGGGAUUUAUGGAAGGUUCAUCACUACACAGCUUGUAACUUUAGUUCGGUGUGACAAAAAGAAAAGAAAAAGCGAACAAGCAAACGAAACGAAACAAAAUCGCUUGUCAAAACUGUCUUCACGCACAUGGAGGCACGUGUCUGAGAAGCAUUCUGUUAUGGGCUCAUCUUUUUUGUGUACCUGGAACUGCAAUGAAUGGCAUUGAAUACAUUCCGUAGAGGAAACAGAUUCUGCAAUUGUGACUGCACUUAGCACCUCUCUCUGUGGUCAAGGCACUGCUGCAUUUCUGGGGCUCUGCAACCAAAUUUGGAACGUGAGAAUGUCGCCCACCUUUUGUUCUCAAAUAUGCGAACUAUCAAACAAGUAUGGUGGUUGCGAGUCUCUUGGAAUGUCUUCACAGCAUACACGCUUGUUCAUGGUGGUACAGCAUGCACUCAUUGGCUUGCUCCUGGUGGUAGUAGGCUUAGUCCCAUGCUAAUUUGAUGAACAGCAGCAACUUGAAUAUGUUGCAUACUUAGUUGACUAUACUUAUCGGAUUAGUGUAAGAGCGGUAAUGAGAAAUUCAGCAUUAAUUCCUAGAUUCAAUUGUAUAACUGUGCUAUAGAGUGCUUUAAAAAAAGAAAACAGCGCAUUCCCUGCCCUAUGUGAGCUCAAUGUGCAAUGUAAAGUGAUUGCAGCAGCCAGGCUCAUCCUUAUGACGGCACUGUCAAAAGAAACUGUCGGUUGUGAUAAGGCCACAUAUUCUGGCUAGGGCCUGAAAGCAGCAUUGGUAGGGUCACUGUAGACUCUCAAAAAUGCACGAGAUUCGAACACGGAAUAGAGGUAGUUUUUUUAAGGGAGAGGGAGGGGGUAAUUCUUUACAUAAAUUAUGCUGCUUGUAAGCACACGGAGCGUGCAAUACCAAUACAGGUAGGCCUGAAGCUUCCUCAGAACAUGGUCAACACACUGACUAUAGAAAGGCUUUAAUAGAGCUCUUUCCAACACGCAUUUCUCUGUUACCUUUAAAUCACAGCACAAAGUAAGCUUAGUUUAUUUUUUCCUCAAUUUUUUUAGGAUGAUGUACCAUAUUUGCACGUAAACAAUGCAGGCACAACUGUAAUGUGAGAGGGGACUCUUGAUCUCUCAGAACAAGAAAAAAUAUUAUACAGUAGACUUCACUUAAUUCGAUUUUUCAGUUAAUUUGAUCCUGACCAGAGAUCCCAGCCAGUGCCUAUGCAUUUAUAUGAGCCCAUACUUUCGUUAUUUUGAUCCUAAGAUUAGCCUUUGCUGGAUAAUCUGAACCUGACCAGUCAGCAUGCACGUGCCCGACUCCCAGUGUCUGACUGACUCCCAGUGCCCGACUCCCAGUGGCAGUGUCUGCCUUGGCAGAGCUUAGACGACAGUGAACGUGGGACCACAUGCCACAGAACACAUUUUUGGCCCUCCCCAGGAAGAUUUUCAAACCAUAGCCGUAGAUCACAAUGUCUGGUUACGGUAUUUACCGGAUUCUAAUGCGCAUCCUUCUUUUUUUUUUCCAGAAAGUUGGUGCAAAAAUUGCUUGCGUGGUGCAGUCGAUACCAAACCAAAACCACCUUCGUGGCAUUCGGAUGCUUUACCGAAUAACACGGGCGUGGUAAAGCUAGAUGAUUUCAAAAUUGGCAGUGAAGCAGACUUUAAUAAAAAAGAACAAAUGUGGCCGUUGUGCAACACAUAUUAGACCCUUGCCCACUUUUUCUCAAGAAAAUGGGGUAUAUGUUAGAUUUCUACUUUGUCUAGGAGCUUUAAUGCCAUUUAUAGGCUAGUUUUCUACGUUAGACACAUAGAAAAUGGGUGUGCGUCUGAUUUGGGACAUGUAAUAAUCGAGCAAAUACUGCCAAAUGAAUUGGUGGUGUUUUGGCGUUUUUUCUGCAUCUUGUUCAAUUCGACCUGCCCAAUAUUUCGAUAAAUUUCGUCAAUUGCAUCAGGGUUGAAUUAACGAAAGUCGACUGUAUUACGAUUAUAAUGGGAAUAAUGUCGUAGUGAAAUGGGCAAUGACGUGUAGAAGUGGAUGGCCACAAGGGUUUAUGCAUUGUUACAGCUAACUGCCGUCGAAAAACAAAGUGAAAAGACAGCUGCUGACAUGCACCAAGGUUACUGGAAACGCAGGACUUCAGAAAUGCCCUUGACACUAUUGAACACGACAAAGCCUUUCAUAGAUUGCACGGUCUUCCACCGCAUGACUUCAAAGACCACUGGCUUGACGCGAUUGCACACCGGUGCCAGUUGCCUUGCUCGAAGUUGGGAUUUGUACACAGUGACCACAUUGGUGCAGUACUAACAGACUUCUAAAUCGGGAGAAGAAAGAUUUUGAAAUGCAUAGUGGCAACUCCUGGCAUUGGUGGCACGUGUGGGAGGGCUGCAUAUGCAGUGGCAGUUGUGGUGGUGCCUGUUGGUUUAGCUCAUUGCAGUUUGAAACGCUAAAGAAAAGAAAAUUUAAAAAAAACUUUAUAUUUGUACCAUGAACCUGAAUGUAACGCGAGGUGUGUUCUGAGGCCAGCAAUUCAGAAAAAAGAUUUUGUUGUGUUCGUGCAAAUAUGUUAAUAUCCCAGUUACACAGGGAACUUUCGAUCGUGAUUGAGUUUAUUGACAUCAAAUUACAUGAUCGUGUAUGGCUAUUUUGUGCUUGCUGCAGAAGGGAGCUGCAGAAGAGAAAUUCGAUCCCUAUCAGGCUUGAUCGGGAUCAAAAGUGCCCCGUGUGGCUGGGGUAUAAGUAUGAUUAUCUGUGCAUAACAAAAGAUCCUGUUCUGCUCUGAGGUGGAUCCAAUUUAUUGAUUUUGCCGUCCUUGAAAAGUCUUUUCCUUUCUACCUGAUCUGCCAGCCAUAUCUUCAUAGAUACAGAAUGAAUUCUGUAUUUUGUAAGGGCGUGUACUUUCUUAUUGAAGUUUACAGGUUUAAACAUGAACGUAAUGUGCAGUGCUUCGUGCUUCUUUAUGGCUUGAUUUUGUAGAAUCUGAGGAGACAGCUGGCACGUCUUUUUACCACUAAAGUAGCUAAAGCUCAGCAUGAUGGUCACUGUGACCAAACAAAUGCUGCAAAAAAGAUUUUCACUGAAACCAGCACAAAUAUAUGCAUUACUAUUAUGCAUGGUAACUUCACACUGCAAUCAUGCUUCUGUGCAAAACAUGCAAGGGGAAAACACCCCAUUUGCCAUUAACAGUUGAUGACUACGUACUUGUUUAAGGCAUGUUUGCUGCUAAUGAAGAAAUUACGUUUUAUAAAUUGUGUGGAGAAUAGAGCCCCAGUUCGGGCACAAAUGAGCCAAGCUGUGAACGAAGUUUCAGUGAGCGCAAUAGUUUUGAAUGAUAAACUAACACAUGGUCGUGUUCCUCAUAAGGGAUGGCAGGGUGACACACAAUGCUUAUUGAAAGAACUUGCAAGUGCAAUGGUCUUGUCGAGCAGGCUGUGGGCGGUAGCAGUUCGUGUGAUGCCAGUCAUGGCUGUGUACUUUGUGAAUGUAGACAAAGUAUUUGAAGUUUAGAGUUUGCAGAGUUAGGAGGUGACAUACAAUGAGCGUGCAAGAAACGAACUGGGAAGUGAAUGUUAUUGCUGAAUGAUGGUACUUGUAGCAACUGUACACUUCGUAGCACGUGCAGUGUCAGCUUUGACUGUUACUCUGUGCUUCACUGUUGUAUAUCUGUACUGCUAACUGCAACUGCAAGCUAUUCUCUCACUUAGGGAGGCCAUAGGAGUCUGAAAUUACAGAAUAUGCGCUAGCAUUCUAAAAAAGAAAUCUUCAGGUUCACAUAUGACUUUAGGAUCUUGGAACUUUAGCUCUGGAGCAUAGAACGGCACGUUGUGGCAUUUCGAGGAAUCACUUAUGUAUACGACUGGGCCGCUGGUUUUUGUGCUUUGGACACAAAUAUGUCAUUGCACAGAAUGUUGCACAUGCUCUUUUUUUUACAUGCUUGCACUUGUACUGAUGUGUUGCCAUGCAGUUGCAGCAUCCUGCUUGUGCGAGUUGCACGGAAAUGCAUUAGCACACACUGCUGACCCGUAGUUUCUAGAUACAAAUGCCUGUUAUGCCAUCCACUGCUGUUGUGCGAGGAGCAAGGUGUGCUGCAACCACAUUACAGCGUGAGAAAAUGGGCACAUUUUCAAAGCAGAAAGUAUGCUUCUGAUAGUGCAAAUAUAUAGUGUUAUCUCUCAACAAGCAGUUGAUCAACCUACAGGCAGUUGCCAUAGCUAGGCUACAGUUGAUGCGUGCUGGAAGGACGUGGUAAUUUAGAGGCCAACUGCAAUGAAUAUUUCAAUUUGGCUAAAUUGCCUACAAAUUGGUGUACAUUGAAGCGACUUUGGAAAUGCUGAAAAGCUUGCAACUGUAUAGCUUUCUUAUGAACAGCCUUUAAAUAGUACUUUAGGUUAUGACAUGUGGUUAGCUGAUAUGACAAAAGCCCGGAAGCAUGGCCUCCGAGAUUUUCAGCGUGCCGCUGGCACCGCCAAAUCUCUGAGGUCACACAAAGAAGCUGCACUGGUUCGCAACAUUCUGUUUAUACCUAUUGAUGCCUCCCUCCCCCCUUACUUUGGUAUCAAAAACCAACUAUUUCUAUUUCUUUUCAUGGGACAUCCACUCGUUAUUUGAAAUGUAAAAUUUUGCACGGAGUCUGAAACUACGCCUUUUACGCAGUUCAAAGCUUUGUUCCAGUUGGCCUCUUAAAUAUAGCUGUAGCUGGGAGCUCUUGAAGAAGAGAAGGCAGCUGGCCAUUUCACAUACAAUUGCUGUCAGCCUAUGCGUACGUAAACCUUGAUAAAGUGGUAUUUAUGUACAAUUACAUCCUAACUUAGCCGACUAGUUUGCAUAGCAUCUGAGAAAGUGGGACAAUUUUGGUAGUCUUUCAUCACUUGUCGAUUGUGGUUUUACAGAGCAGCGUACGCUGUGUGAGAUUUUGUUGAAAAGCUCGUUAAAUAAGGUCAUCUACUGCUAGUUGAUGUUGUCAAGCCCAAGUACUUAUCUUGCUUUGUCUGUCUCGAAGUACACUUUAAAAGAUGUCGAGCCUGUACCGUAGUUCAUCCUGAGUGGCAGUACAAAUAUCUACGACGCACUGCAUAUCACAGGGGCCUACCUGCAUAAAAGCACAUCUACAGAGGUCAAGAACAACUAAACUGUAGCUUCAAAGAAAAACUUGGGUCUGCUUUCCAUGGUUUACGUGAAAAGCUUCAGCAGGUUGAGAUCACAAAUCUCAAAGUACUAAGUCUCAGCUCGCAAACUUUAUGUAAUGUAGGGUGAUUCUCUGUGCAAAUGUUUGUAAAAAAUCCUCCUAUCCGUGCACACUACUUUUGACUGGAGGACACAGUGGCUCCCUUGUCGCAUAAUAGAUAGUGUGAAGAAACCGGAAAAUUAUCGCUGUUUUUAUACAGAAUAGGAGAGCGGUAAUAACCUUUAUUAAAGCUGACUUGCUUUUAUUUUAUGCCAGUUGUUUCAGUUUUUUGUAAUGCUUGAGAUCACUCUUGCUUUAGCACCGAAGCAAAGGCUCAAUGUCUUGUGCAGUGGAUAGUAACUCUCGUUUGCCCCUUUUUUGGUUGAAUGAGCACUUGAGCACCCGUAUUUUAAUUGGUGCUGAUGUCGCAUCAUGUGGUUGUGGCAAUUUUAUUUAUAACUGUCACGUUCAACAAAUUAAUUUGUUACGAGUCAAAUGUUGUUUUUUUAUACACAAUUGUUUAGAGCACUUGUAUUGCAAAUGAACUUCUGUUAUUCAUUCUAGAUUUGAUUUUGUUUGCAAGCCUGCUAUGGGGGGUGGCCUUCGAAAGAAAUUUGUUUAACAGUGCAUUGUGGCCAUUGCUGUUACUAUAGCUGCGCAGUUUUGCACGUUAAAAUGCAUUGAUAGCUCUUCAAGAUUGGGAGUGUUUGUAGAUGGUGAAGUCUUAUUACUAGCAUUCACUUUCUAAUUAUUCUUUUAAUAUACUGCUGUUUUUGCCUCCAAAACACUCGCCUCUAGCAUUGCAUCUUGCUUACACUCAGCUUACGUGCAUACGUAACCAAUCUUAACUCGACAGCAGUAAUAACUUACUGGAUUGUAGAUUGCCGAAUGCAAGAGCUUCUCUUUUGUUUAAGUUGAUCUUAUAUCGUCUUUAUCUUUCAGGUGAGAAUUCUCAAUUCACUUCUUGUGCCUCAAUGUUAACCUCAUAGGUAGGACACCUUUAGAGGUAUGAGGAGUGGAUGUGUACCAUAUAUACUUUGCAGAUGAUGGAACGGCGUUGCAUCACGAAAAUGUGUGUGGUUUUGGGAUGGUAAGAGGGCACAGUGUACGCAUCUUUCGCUUCUUUUAUUCACUGCAGCCUGAAAUGCUCCUAGAGCCUGCAGCUUGUACUUGAAUGUAUUUAAGCUUUUGUUCAUGUGAUAUGGGAACUACUACACAACUUGUGCUCUUUGUAUGCAGCUUGGUUGCUGUCGGAAAUUGUGGGAAGCCUCACAUUGCUAGUCUUUCGCAAAGUGGCAUUUCUGUGCUGAGUGAAUACAUUAUUAUGCAUGUAUGCUUUUGUUUUUGGGCUUAUACUCUGCAGAUUGUAAAUAUUUUUAUGUCCGUAUACGUACUGCUGUUCUUUUGUAUCUUGUUGCUUGGAUUAUUCUCAACCAUGCUGGCAGCUAGCAUUCACUUGGACAAGGAAAAGAAUGCCUGCCGUACUGUACUAUUUGAAGUGGUUCACUAAUGUGUACCUCUGUGUAUAGUUCGUAAAAUGUGUUGCACUCUUCCAUAGAUGCACAUUUCAGUAUGUAUGUCGCAUCCUUAAUUGUGCCAUGAUUUUGCAGUAUUUGACAUGCACCUUCGCAUCUGUUACCUGAAUUUAGUUGCUGGCAUUAUGAGCAGACGUGCAUUUAUUUUAAUUUUAUCUUUCCGCUGUUUACGCUGUGGUCGCAUACCACAGCAGCAUGUUUGUCAAGAGUGAAGAUGAAUUGUUGAACUUGGGAUUUAAGAUUUUUACAUGCGACUUGUGGAGCUGAUGGGGUCGACGACGUUCCUUCAUGGUGAAGCUGUGUCGUACCGUUGUACACUUGUCGAGUUGUUUUUAUAGAGCUGGUUGCUGUAGCAUGUAAAUAAAGAAAAAGUUACGAACA